AUGAACGCUGGCGGCGUGCCUAAUACAUGCAAGUCGAGCGAACAGACGAGGAGCUUGCUCCUCUGACGUUAGCGGCGGACGGGUGAGUAACACGUGGAUAACCUACCUAUAAGACUGGGAUAACUUCGGGAAACCGGAGCUAAUACCGGAUAAUAUAUUGAACCGCAUGGUUCAAUAGUGAAAGACGGUUUUGCUGUCACUUAUAGAUGGAUCCGCGCCGCAUUAGCUAGUUGGUAAGGUAACGGCUUACCAAGGCGACGAUGCGUAGCCGACCUGAGAGGGUGGUCGGCCACACUGGAACUGAGACACGGUCCAGACUCCUACGGGAGGCAGCAGUAGGGAAUCUUCCGCAAUGGGCGAAAGCCUGACGGAGCAACGCCGCGUGAGUGAUGAAGGUCUUCGGAUCGUAAAGCUCUGUUAUUAGGGAAGAACAAAUGUGUAAGUAACUAUGCACGUCUUGACGGUACCUAAUCAGAAAGCCCCGGCUAACUACGUG
This 496-nucleotide ribosomal RNA is filed under the name uncultured bacterium. RNAcentral describes it as "partial 16S ribosomal RNA". It matches the Rfam family "Bacterial small subunit ribosomal RNA", at positions 29 to 507 of the family's 1533-position model. The record is from RNAcentral.